RNAcentral lists this ribosomal RNA (492 nucleotides) under uncultured bacterium. Its description in RNAcentral is "partial 16S ribosomal RNA". It matches the Rfam family "Bacterial small subunit ribosomal RNA", at positions 29 to 507 of the family's 1533-position model. The record is from RNAcentral.
AGUGGACGCUGGCGGUAGGCCUAACACAUGCAAGUCGAACGGCAGCACAGUAAGAGCUUGCUCUUACGGGUGGCGAGUGGCGGACGGGUGAGGAAUACAUCGGAAUCUACUUUUUCGUGGGGGAUAACGUAGGGAAACUUACGCUAAUACUGCAUACGACCUACGGGUGAAAGCAGGGGAUCUUCGGACCUUGCGCGAUUGAAUGAGCCGAUGUCGGAUUAGCUAGUUGGCGGGGUAAAGGCCCACCAAGGCGACGAUCCGUAGCUGGUCUGAGAGGAUGAUCAGCCACACUGGAACUGAGACACGGUCCAGACUCCUACGGGAGGCAGCAGUGGGGAAUAUGGGACAAUGGGCGCAAGCCUGAUCCAGCCAUACCGCGUGGGUGAAGAAGGCCUUCGGGUUGUAAAGCCCUUUUGUUGGGAAAGAAAAGCAGCAGGUUAAUACCCCGCUGUUCUGACGGUACCCAAAGAAUAAGCACCGGCUAACUUCGUG